GUGCCGUGGAGUGCCUGAAUGGGGCAUAAGCGGUUCAGUGCUAGUUGAAAGAUCAUUUGUUGGGAAUAUUGCCAGACAUGUCUGAUACAUUGGAUAAGUCUGUAAGAUCAUCGGAUGACUUUUAUGGAGCUCUGAGAUAAGUCAAACCAGUCCUGAGGUCUCUGCUCCUGUAGGAGAUACUCCCAACUAUUAUCCCUGGAACCUCCCAGGCUUUUCCUUUUCUCUGGAGCCCCAACAACUUCCUCUUAGGAAUUUGUCUUUCAAUCAGGUUCUCACGAUGGCAUGCUCCAUCAACGCAGGUAUCGCCAUGUCGCUUUAGAAUUGGAAAUGUUUGGAUCCACAAGGUGUAUGGAUUUUGGUCGCAAGACUUUCUAUUAACAGUCAGGCCCAACACAGCUUAGUUUAUGAAGUCUGAUUUUUCUAA
This is a long non-coding RNA of Mus musculus (house mouse), 424 nucleotides long. RefSeq annotates it as predicted gene, 33036. The transcript is spliced from 3 exons. NCBI's taxonomy places the organism in Eukaryota, Metazoa, Chordata, Mammalia, Rodentia, Muridae. The record is from RefSeq and is a predicted model, not a curated record.